GCGGGUGUAGUGUUCAAUGGCUAGCACACCAGCCUUCCAAGCUGUUAGAGAGGGUUCGAGUCCCUUCACCCGCU
RNAcentral lists this transfer RNA (74 nucleotides) under Candidatus Ancillula kalotermitis. RNAcentral's name for it is "tRNA-Gly". It matches the Rfam family "tRNA". Rfam says of the family: Transfer RNA (tRNA) molecules are approximately 80 nucleotides in length. Lineage: Bacteria; Bacillati; Actinomycetota; Actinomycetes; Bifidobacteriales; Bifidobacteriaceae. The record is from RNAcentral.